Non-coding RNA from Gasterosteus aculeatus aculeatus (three-spined stickleback), 2298 nucleotides. Lineage: Eukaryota; Metazoa; Chordata; Actinopteri; Perciformes; Gasterosteidae. The record is from RefSeq and is a predicted model, not a curated record.
CCAUGGGGAGUGACCUCUGCCUCUGACCUCUGCCUGGUAGACAAGCAGAAUGAGUUAUACUGCAGAUUUGAUAGUCCAAUCCCCUCUCCACCCCCCACAGCUCCACCAACCUGCCCCAGACCCUCUCUAUUCUGGAGAGAGACGUUAACAGGCUCUUUAAAAGACAAAACCCUCGCAAAGCAGCGGUUCCGGACUCUGUCUCCCCCCCACACCCUGAAGCAUUGUGCUGACCAGCUGUCUCCGGUGUUCACAGACAUCUUCAACACCUCCCUGGAGACAUGCCACCUACCAGCCUCGACUCCCCAGGAACCUACGGCAGGAUCCUGUCUGUGGACUUCAACACGAUCAUCCCGUCUGCUGGACAAACUCUCUCAGCUGCACGUGCCCGACUCCACCUGCAAGUGGAUCACUGACUUCCUGUCUGAGCAUGUCUCAGCCUCUCGGACCAUCAGCACCGGUUCCCCCCAAGUCCGCCUACAGAUGGGAAUUUGACCAUUUGGUGAUGGUGGUCAAAAUAAUCUGGAGCUCCACGCUUUGAAGACAGUGGAGAUGAUUGUAGAUGUUAGGAAGAAGGGAAUCCCACCUUCCUGCAUCACCCUGUGUGACUUCCCUGUCACCGCUGUGGAUUCCUCCCAUAUUCUGGGCUCCAUCAUCACCUAGAACCUCAAGUGGGAGCGGAACAUCACCUCCAUCACCAAGAAGGCUCAGCAUAGGCUGAUCUUUCUGAGGCAAGAAAUUUAACCUGCCAAAGACGAUGAUGGUGCACUUCUACACGGCCAUCAUCGAGUACAUCCUCUACUCCAUCACCGUCUGGUACUCUUGCAGCCACAGCUAAGGACAAGGGCAGGCUGCAGCUUGUCAUCCGCUCUUCAGAGAGCGUGAUCAGCUGCAAUCUGCCGUCUCUCCAGGACUUGUUUGGUUUCAGGACCUUGAAGGGAGCUAAAAAGAUCGUUGCCGACCCCUCUCACCCCAGACAAAACCUGUUUGUGCCCCUUACAUCUGGCAGGAGGCUGAGGUCCAUCAGGACCCAGACCUCCCGCCACAGUUUCUUCCCGCCGGCAGUCGGGUUCAUCAACACAGCCCGGGUCCCCCACUGACUGACCUUGACCUCCCACCGUCACUCCCUUUUUCAACUUUUAAUUUUAAUUUGAAUUCCUAUUGCAUGUUCCUAUGUUGUCCAUUGUCUUGUCUGAUGUUAUGCACCAACCGUGUAUGUCUAACAUAUUUUGGUAAUAAAUGGUACUGAUUCCUGAUUAUUAUUUUAACACUACAAGUUACACAGGGCCUUCGCAGUCCGACGUUGUUGGUUGCCCUGGCCCUGAUAUUGAAGCUACAAGCAGCAAUGAAUGGGCCCUCCCACCUUUGUGAUGUCCGGUGUACUGGGAGGACGGCAACGUCCACAGCCACGAGUGUUUGCAACUGUUGUGCAAAGCAUCCCUAAAUUACACAUAUUUUGCCCCGUGGUCAGAUCUGCAUGGAUUAGAUGGGAUCUGUCACAUAAUACUGAUUUAUUUCCGUCAGUAUGAAAAUUUGCUUGGCAUCUUCAGGCCAUUAGUGUUACUAAACAGUUAGUGAGUCCAGAGGACUUAAACAAUAGGGAACUACAUAAAAUAGCCACUCUUCCACAGUUACAACAUUCCAUCAAAUGUAAAAUAUUUCAAAAUUUGAAUUAAAACAAAUUCUGAUACACUUCAAGGUACUUGCCAAACUUGAAGUGGAUCAGAAAAAGUCUUGAAUAAGGAAUAGGGAAUAUUUAUUGACAACCUAUGUUAGACAUACAAGGAAUUGGGACAUGGCGGUUGGUGCAUAACAUUGGACAGUGAGGCAAUGAGACAAUGGACAUCAAAACAAAUAACACAGUGCAGGAAAAAUGACAUGCUCAAUUUACAAAUGUAUAAUUUAAAUCUACAGUAUGUUAUAGAAGGCUGUAGGCUAGAGGAAUAUAGAAUACAAAAAUAAUAAUAAUAAUGUGAUAAGUUGAAAAGAUAACCAUACUCUACACAGGUUGGGAGUAUGUGAAAGUAACAAGUGUAUGUACAUAUGGAGUGUGAAGGGAUGUGCGGGGGAGUGACCGGUGGAAAAGGUAAUAUCAGAGGCUGGAUUCGAAUUCGUCGUUCCUAUGCUAGGUGACAGUACCCGCUACUACUUAUCCCCCCAAGUUGAGAGCAAAGUGCACAAGGACAACAGGAAGAGUCGCUAGUUCAACAUGUUCCACCUUGUGGAAUUCUGAUCAAAUGAUCAAUUGUGUGUAGUUUUGUGUUUAAAAUAACAAUAACAAUUAAAGUGUCUAAAAUACAA